Long non-coding RNA from Brachypodium distachyon (stiff brome), 4110 nucleotides. RefSeq lists it as uncharacterized. The transcript has 4 exons. The record is from RefSeq and is a predicted model, not a curated record. NCBI's taxonomy places the organism in Eukaryota, Viridiplantae, Streptophyta, Magnoliopsida, Poales, Poaceae.
CCAAAAGAAGGGGGGCAUACACCCCGAGAGGAUGCCAGUGUGGUCCAUUUCCGUUAUGAGAUGGCCUGGCCCACGAUACAAAAAUGGAGAAAAACUGGGCAUGUCGGACGGCCCAUCUUCAAAUUAAAGACCAAACAAACCUAGCCCGCCAGCCCGUAUAGCUAACUUGACUAGGUCCGCAAAGCAGCAAGGCGGGUUUUUCUAUAAAAAAAAAGCAGCAACGUGGGCACCUAAAAAACAACGCAGUCAGUAAAAAAACAAAAAUGGUUGGUUUUCCUUCUCUUCAGAUCAAUCACGAGCCUGAGACGGAUUCAUUUCUUUCCAUCAAUCGAUCGAGUCUUAGGCAUCUAGCCGUGCGGGCCAAUUUGGCGUGACUGGAGUGGAAACAUGGGCCCUGAUCCACAUGUGUUGGUCCAACCUGAUGCCUAAGGUCUUUUAGAUGGUAUAAGUGCCACGAGCUAGUGUUUUCUUUCCACCCUUGUAUUUCCUUCACCGCAUAUGAUGGCAUCCUUCCUUUCCACCCUUGUAUUUUCUUCCACGCUCAGUUCAAAUAAUUUGUUUGUCCUACACCUAUGAGAAUGCUGACCACCUGGUUCCACCACAAAAACCAACCACUGGAGUUACGCUCAGUUCGCUCGCUCAGUUCAAAUAAUUGAAUGCUCUGCAUUUUGAUUUACCGAUAAACACUGGCAAUCCCAAGUAUUUUUCAGAUCUCGUCUCGUGGUUGAGUUGAAGGAUUGCCAUGAUCUCCUGUUUCUCCUGAGAAGGUGUGUUCUUGCUAAACAUUAUUGCAGAUUUUUCUUUGUUAAUGACCUGGCCCGAGCAAGCAUCAUACUAUCUUGUUUAGAAUUACUUGAAAGAAUUGGAGAAGGGUUGCCGCGUUAGAAGGAGAGCCGAACUAGGGAAGGAUCCAAUCUCCAUUGAGAUAGAUAAACAACAUCUGAUUAAAGCAGAGGUGGUAUCUUAGCUCCUAUAAAAGAGCCUUGUGGUGGUGGCCGUACGUGACACACCCAACCAGUAUUACAUGUAGGACUUCCCACCGUCUGUCUCCCAACCCUAAUCGUCUCUCCCGUGUCUUCCUGCACUCCCCUCCCCCAUAGCAGCGCACCAGCACCUCGCCCCGGCGUAUUCGCCUGCCUCCCCACACCGCGCCGCCCCUCCGGCCUCCGCCCUGGCCACGGGCUAGCAUCUCGCCUCGGCAUAUUUGCCGGCCUCCUCUCACAACGCCUCCCCUCUGCCCUAGCCAACCCAGCACGCUCUGCCCCCUCCUCUCACGCGGCUGGCCCGCCACAGAUCCUCCAGGCGCCAGUCAACGACCAAGAAGAAGUAGCGAGCAGCGAGGGGAUAAAGGAGGCCGCCGGGGCCGGCGAAUUGAUGUGCAGUUGGUGUGGACGAAUCAGGCUGGGGCUCCCUACCCCCCUAUCUUUCUCAUUCGUGGAGGAAGACGCAGCCACGGAGCCUUCUCGUCUCCACCACCACCGGCACAAUUGAGUUCGUCACGGCCGCCCACGCCAGUGAAAUCUUCUCCACCGAGGGGCAUAAAGGUUUGUUCUUUUGUUUGGUUGCUAUCCUACCGACCUUGUUUCGAGGACUGCUGCUGCUAAUGUUCAAUGAGCCGGCUCGCUUGGUCAUUAGGGUUUCGAAAUAUUUGGGAGAAGCCACACUAAUUACAGGUUUCGUUCUGCCUAAUUUGAUUUUCCGAGUCACGGUUCAGUGAAAUUUCUAAUUUUAGGAUUUGUUGGAUGCAUAACCUGAAAGUCCUUGGUGCUCUUCGUCUAAUAGGGUAUAAAAAUGUGCUGCCAUUUUAGUAUUUAUACCUUUCAUGAGGUUGUUUUGCUGAAUUGGUAUGAAAUAUCAUAAAUUGUAUCGGCCCAAAGGUGAACGGAGCGCCGCUGCUGAUUGACAUCUUAAGAUAAGAAGUAACAAUCAUUUAUCAUGCAGCCUGUCAAGCCCAAUGGAAGAAGUAAUUUUUUUACCAUGAUUAAAUGUUGUAACUAUGCUGUUGCCUGUUGAAUGAUCUCCUCCACUGCCUUGGUUCAUUUUCUCAACAACUUAAUUAUGUACGACUCAUGAAAACUUCCUUGGUAAAAUCAAAGAAGAGAUGUUUGUUUGCAGCUCUUGUGAAUUGAACUCAGCUUGUGUCAUUGACUCUACAUAUUUUAUGCUAUGACCAAAUUCAGUGUCAUUUAGUUUCAGUGGCAUUCUAAUGUAACAGGCUUAGCACUCAUGUUAAUGCUCUAAUAUCUUGCUGAAAAAUUGUUGAAGAGAGCUGUACAAAAAUAAUAUUCAGGUCUAUACCAGCUGAGCUUUGGAGUCUCAAGAGCCUUAUUAGCUUGGACUUCUAUAACAGCUACAUAUGCAGGGACAAUACCAAAAGAACUCAGCAACUGAAAUCCUUAGUUUUCCUGUGGGUACUUUUCCGUUAUUUCUAUUGUAACAAUGUUUGCAUUUGCACCUUUUUUUUCUGCAUAUGCAGGCAUAGAAUAUUCCUUCGCAAAAAAAGGCAUAGAAUAUUGUUAAAAUGAUUGUUCCAACGACCAAUUUAACAAUUGGAAUCCAUCAGUUCCAUUCUUUCUAAUAGAAAAAUGAAGUCAAAAGCAUGAGUAAUAAAAGUUUGAACUUUGAAUUGUCAAUGAGAAAUUGGUAACCAGCUAUCUAGGAUAAGCCCUAUCAUUUUUUGCACACUGUUCUGUUUAUUGUAAGCGCCUCACAAUUGAUUCUUCAAGUAGUUUUUGACAUUUUAUUGCUCACCUUAUUGGAUAAUUUCUAUUGGUGAAGAUCUGAUAUCUUAUUGACUGCCCUAAUAUUGCUAGCGUCGCCACCAGUCAAGUCUCCUCCACCGCAUGCUCCAGUGAGCAAUCCCCCUCCACCACUGCCUGCUCCGGGUUACAGCAGUCUAUCGUUCACAUCGGUAAACAUGUGCGAGAAAGGAGAAAGCUCAAAAGGAUGAAAGCGUCCUCGUGGUUCUGGUCGCUCUGCUGGCCUCACACUAUAAAAAAGACAAGCAAGGCAGAACCGUGAUAAAAAGCACCGUCAAAGUUUGACACUCGAGGCUAGGGAAGAGAUAAAUGCUCGCAGAAGAGCGCACACGGAAAGUUUAACACUUGAAGAGAGGCAGGCUGCUAAUGCCCACCGAACGGCGGCUAGGCAAAACUUGCCAAUUGGGGACAGAGAAGAGGCCAAUGCUCAUCGCAGGGCUGCUAGGAAAAACAUAUCACCUUAGGCAAGGCAGCCACUACUAGAUUAUUGUAAGGCAAGCUACGCAGCUAGGGGAGACACUCCGUGCACAGAGUUCUUAACUAGAACACUGUCUGCAUAUUACAACCUUUAGUAGGGUGCACUUUGGUCCAGAUGUUGAUGUUGCACGUCAGAUGAAGAAGAGGAUCAACAAUGACCUUAGCUCCAUGGAUCCGCGUUAAGUCAGCAUGAAUGGUGGUUGGAACCUUUUGCAGUCACCUUUUAAGCCAUGACACUAGGAGAAGCCUUGGGGAAAAAGAACACACAUCUGUGUGCAUCGAUGAAAAUGAACAUUUUGCAACCACCUUUCGAUGCUUAAAUGUUUUUAUUUGUUAUUAUGGCAUGUUAGUGUCCUGAACUAUGUUAUGGUGGACUGGAAAAUAUUGUCGUUGUGAUGGAUGAAUAUGUAUUAAUUCUACCUUGUCACAAGUUAUGAUAUUUGUGACCUGAAUCAUGUUGUGUUCCUCGUGAAUCAUCAGAAUGCUUUGAUACUUUCUGUUGGUAGUCUCAUUGCAAACGGACAUGAGCUUGCUUUGGGAGUUUAUUUGUUACUUUUUGUUGCGUUGUGUGUUACAUAGCUAAUCAAAGAUUAAAUAAAUCGAAGUAAAUAGUUUUUGUGAAAAUCAAACAUCAAAAUAAGUGUUAUGAUUUUGUGGCGGUGUAAGUGGUUCCGUGCCAUCGCACGGACACCUUACUAGUAAUCUAUAAUGAGUGGUAUACUGGUAACUGGUAUGUAAGAGAACAUGAAAUGGAAGACUGGGUGCAAAAAUAAUUGAUACGUUGCACGUUGCAACCAAAAAGAGAAGAUGAACUGAGCGUAUUGUCACAUUGAUUUUUUUUAACUAUUUUAUUUUUCUCGUACACUAUGAUAUA